CGAGCUAGACUGUCACUCGACC
RNAcentral lists this small nuclear RNA (22 nucleotides) under Arabidopsis thaliana (thale cress). Its description in RNAcentral is "snRNA_01385". The record is from RNAcentral. Lineage: Eukaryota; Viridiplantae; Streptophyta; Magnoliopsida; Brassicales; Brassicaceae.